This 1243-nucleotide ribosomal RNA is filed under the name Aster yellows phytoplasma. Its description in RNAcentral is "bacterial SSU rRNA". It matches the Rfam family "Bacterial small subunit ribosomal RNA", at positions 156 to 1399 of the family's 1533-position model. The record is from RNAcentral. Lineage: Bacteria; Bacillati; Mycoplasmatota; Mollicutes; Acholeplasmatales; Acholeplasmataceae.
ACGAUCGAUUAGACUGGAUAGGAGACAAGAAGGCAUCUUCUUGUUUUUAAAAGACCUAGCAAUAGGUAUGCUUAGGGAGGAGCUUGCGUCACAUUAGUUAGUUGGUGGGGUAAAGGCCUACCAAGACUAUGAUGUGUGGCCGGGCUGAGAGGUUGAACGGCCACAUUGGGACUGAGACACGGCCCAAACUCCUACGGGAGGCAGCAGUAGGGAAUUUUCGGCAAUGGAGGAAACUCUGACCGAGCAACGCCGCGUGAACGAUGAAGUAUUUCGGUACGUAAAGUUCUUUUAUUAGGGAAGAAUAAAUGAUGGAAAAAUCAUUCUGACGGUACCUAAUGAAUAAGCCCCGGCUAACUAUGUGCCAGCAGCCGCGGUAAUACAUAGGGGGCAAGCGUUAUCCGGAAUUAUUGGGCGUAAAGGGUGCGUAGGCGGUUAAAUAAGUUUAUGGUCUAAGUGCAAUGCUCAACAUUGUGAUGCUAUAAAAACUGUUUAGCUAGAGUAAGAUAGAGGCAAGUGGAAUUCCAUGUGUAGUGGUAAAAUGCGUAAAUAUAUGGAGGAACACCAGUAGCGAAGGCGGCUUGCUGGGUCUUUACUGACGCUGAGGCACGAAAGCGUGGGGAGCAAACAGGAUUAGAUACCCUGGUAGUCCACGCCGUAAACGAUGAGUACUAAACGUUGGGUAAAACCAGUGUUGAAGUUAACACAUUAAGUACUCCGCCUGAGUAGUACGUACGCAAGUAUGAAACUUAAAGGAAUUGACGGGACUCCGCACAAGCGGUGGAUCAUGUUGUUUAAUUCGAAGGUACCCGAAAAACCUCACCAGGUCUUGACAUGCUUCUGCAAAGCUGUAGAAACACAGUGGAGGUUAUCAGUUGCACAGGUGGUGCAUGGUUGUCGUCAGCUCGUGUCGUGAGAUGUUGGGUUAAGUCCCGCAACGAGCGCAACCCUUAUUGUUAGUUACCAGCACGUAAUGGUGGGGACUUUAGCAAGACUGCCAGUGAUAAAUUGGAGGAAGGUGGGGACGACGUCAAAUCAUCAUGCCCCUUAUGACCUGGGCUACAAACGUGAUACAAUGGCUGUUACAAAGGGUAGCUGAAGCGCAAGUUUUUGGCGAAUCUCAAAAAAACAGUCUCAGUUCGGAUUGAAGUCUGCAACUCGACUUCAUGAAGUUGGAAUCGCUAGUAAUCGCGAAUCAGCAUGUCGCGGUGAAUACGUUCUCGGGGUUUGUACACACCGCCCGUCA